GUGAUCAGGAGAAUAGAUUUUUCUGGAAGGACAAUUCAUUACCCAAAUAAAAAAAGAUCGUAAGACCUCACCUAACUUUGAUUAAUCGAAUAAAAAAGGAAGAAAUUUAGCUGCUAAAAAUCACAGAUCCAAGCGAAUUAAGAUCGUCCAGGAUCCAAUGGUUAAUCAUCGAUCACAAUAUAUAAUUACAAAUCAGCAUAGCUCGGAGAAAAAACAAAAACAGUCUGAGAUUUCGAUCGAGAGAGAGAGAGACCUUUCUGUGGCGGGCAUUAAGCUCCUUGGAUACGUUGGCCUUCUCGUUCAUGGUUGGAUAACGGAGGCUAGGAGGAGAAUCGCCAAAGACGAGGAAGAGCUGAAGAAAACAAAACAAAAUCUGCUCGAAGAGGCGGAGGAUAUACACGUAUGAAGCCAGGGGGAUCGAGAAUGUCGCGGGAAGAUGGAACGGUGGAUUGAUCGGAGAAAUCGACGGCCCAUCUCCGGCCAGUACCCAUCACUGCUUUGCCUUUGUCCAUUCGCUUUAGUUUUUCGAUCCACGAGACAGAGAUGAACAGCCAAGCAGCAGAAGAACGAGAAGGCGAAGAAGAGAAGGAGAAGAACAACCAAUACACAACACCCGUCUCAGAAGACAGUAUCUUCUUUCCCCUAAUUAAAGAUACGUUUCCUAUUAAUUAUGCUAAUUUUCUUCUUUUUUUUUUUAAUCCAAUUAAUGGUAAGAGACGGGAGUUGCAUACCCAGUUAAUGAUGCUCUUAUUAUAUCCAAGCUCCAAGAUAGAACCCAAGAACUCUAGGCGGCGCCACAUCAUCUUGAGAUAGUCCGGUGUCAUGAAGUUCUUCUGGCCGGAAAAGAAAAAUCAAUAGCAACGGCGGGGAUGGAUCUCCAAGCACCUUGAGUAAGCUUCCUCGUCCAUACAUACAAACCACUACAAGGUGGCGGAGCAGUCGCUUAGUCCCUACUCCGACGUGGAAACCCUCCAGAAACAAAUCGAACGUUGAGUUAGGCUCAGCCCAAGCCUGGUUUAAGGUCGUUAGUAUCACCGUUUUCUCCUCCGUCGAUGCUUCCAGCAAGACUCUCUGCAAAGCUCCCACAUCUUUCGCCAUACUCUGGCAAAAAGAAAAAUUUUAAACAUUAAAAACAAUGAUUUUGUAUAUUAUAAAAUAUCUUAUACUACUUUAGAAAAAGAGUUAAAAUACCUUCUCAGCUUAAGAAUAUAGCCCAAUUUCUUCAUAAAGAGUUGUUUGGGAUCGAAUCCCAAUCAGUGUG
Molecule: long non-coding RNA, 1261 nt
Filed under: Brassica napus (rape)
Lineage: Eukaryota; Viridiplantae; Streptophyta; Magnoliopsida; Brassicales; Brassicaceae
Description: long non-coding RNA (BNAP_LNC016519)
Source: RNAcentral